RNAcentral lists this ribosomal RNA (253 nucleotides) under uncultured bacterium. RNAcentral's name for it is "partial 16S ribosomal RNA". It matches the Rfam family "Bacterial small subunit ribosomal RNA", at positions 524 to 776 of the family's 1533-position model. The record is from RNAcentral.
GGCGGGGGAUGCAAGCGUUAUCCGGAAUCACUGGGCGUAAAGCGUCUGUAGGUGGUGAUGCAAGUCACUGGUGCAAAACUCUGGCUCAACCGGAGGAAAGCCAGUGAAACUGCAUGACUAGAGUGUGGGAGAGGUAGAAGGAAUUCCCUGAGUAGCGGUGAAAUGCGUAGAUACAGGGAAGAACACCGGAGGCGAGAGCGUUCUACUGGAACACAACUGACACUGGGAGACGAAAGCUAGGGGAGCGAUUGGG